Small nuclear RNA from Toxorhynchites rutilus septentrionalis, 141 nucleotides. RefSeq annotates it as U4 spliceosomal RNA. The transcript has a single exon. NCBI's taxonomy places the organism in Eukaryota, Metazoa, Arthropoda, Insecta, Diptera, Culicidae. The record is from RefSeq and is a predicted model, not a curated record.
AGCUUUGCGCAGUGGCGAUAUCGUAACCAAUGAGGUUUUACCGAGGUGCGAUUAUUGCUAGUUGAAAAAAAAAAGCAUAAUAUAAAGACAACGAGAAGACAACAUAAUCGUUUUAUUAUUAAUUAUCAUGUUUCAAAAAAU